GACAAGUAUAUAAAGAAACUAUUAUGGAUGGUUAGCUAUAUAUUUCAAGAUAUUUAUAUCUAGGGAACAAUAUAAACUAGAAAUCAUAGAGAAAUCUAAUUAUAAGACAAAGUGAAUUGAAAUAUCUUAGUAACUUUAGUAAAAGAAAUCAAACGAGAUUGUUAUUUGGUGUCUUCUGAAUAGCAAAAGCCUUAAUAAAUAAUUACUAUAUUUACCAAAUAUAGGUUAUAAUUGUUUAUAGUAAAUAUAUUAUUUAAUAUAUUUAAGUAUAACGGAAAAAAAUCUGUUGAAAAAUAGGGGAACCUUCCUCUAAGGCUAAAAAAAAUAUAUAAGCGAUAGAGUAACAGUACCGUGAGGGAAAUACCCUGAAAUAGUAGUUUUAUAAGCAGCUCAAGUUAAAAUUUAAAUAAAUAAUAAGAGCGUACCUUUUGCAUAAUGGGUCAGCAAGUUAAUUUUAGAUGCAAGUAACAUCUCUUUUAUAAGCAUUUACAUAUAGAACAUUAGACAUAAUGUCUAAUGAUAUUAUUUUAAUAUUGGUAUGUAAAUUUAUUAAUAAAAUUAGGAGGUAGAUACGCAGAUAAACCAAUUAUGAAAAAAUGAAUUAGUAUCUAGAAUUAGACCCGAAGGCUAGUGAUCUUACCAUGGUCAGGGUUAUAAAAGCCCGAACGGGUUAUCGUUGUAAAGAUAUCCGAUGAACUGUGGUAAGUUAGUGAAAGACAAAACUGACUAGUAUAGCUGGUUUUCCGCGAAACCUAUGUAAGUAGGUAAUUUAAUUAACAUCUUAGCAGGUACAGAACUGUGAUCUCGGACAAUAUCUAAGAUAUUUGUCAACAUCGGGGGGUUGUAGUGACUUUACCGGAGAGUAUUUGCACUCGGAAGGGCAAAGAUGAAUGUUAAAUAAUCGGACAUAGUGCGAUAAGGUUGUAUGUCUAAAGGGAAACAGCCCAGAACAAGAGUUAAGGUUCCAAAAUUAUUGUUAAGUGAAAUUAAGGAUGUUUUUUUUUAAAACAAUCAGGAAAUAGGCUUAGAAGCGGCCAUUUUUUGAAGACCUCGUAACAGAGCACUGAUUAAUAAAUUAGGAAAAAACGCCGAAAAUUUAACGGAUCUAAAUAAUAUACCGAAACCUUGUACACAAAUUAAAAUUAAAGCGCUGUGGCUUAGAUUAGAUGUUAAAUCUAAAUUUAAGCGCUGUGACUUAGGAUUUUUGUGGGGUAGCGGAACAUUGGAUUAAACAAAAUAUUAAUAUUUUUCUUAAAAUAUUAAAGAUCUUGCAUAAAGCUAUCUAAACUAAAUAUAUGAUUUAUUAUAUAUUGUGAUUGAUUAUUUAUUUAACUAUACUACAAUAUAAUAACUAAUUGAUUAUAUAUUUAACGAUAUAUUUUUAAAUUAGUUAUUAAGUGUGGGUUAUAUAGUAAAAUAAAAAAAGUUAGUAGUAGUAAAUAUAGUAGUUUAAAUAUUAUAUUACGAUUUAUGAGUAUCUGUUAAAUCCAAGAGAGAAUGCUGACAUGAGUAACGAAAAAGGCUUUUAGCCUCGCCUGAAGCUUAUGGUUUCAUCUAAAAUCGGUGUCUAAAAAAAUUAAUCAAAUGAUAAUUUUGAUGACGUUUUAUGCUUUUUUUAUAUGAUAAUACCAAAACCUUUAACAAGUAAUAAAGGUUCUGGAAAAGUUUAUUUUAUUAUUUGAAGUGGCAAAUAUUUAAUACUCAUACUUAUUGGUAUAAAAUUGUAAAUUAUAAUAUAUAAUACAUACUUAUUAUAAUAUUGUGAUUUACAAAUAUAAUAGAGUGAGUAAAAUAAUAAAUAUUUUUUAACCAAGUAAUAGUCUUUAUCUAUUAUAAUGAUAUUAUAGAUAAUAAUUAAUAAUUAAUUACCAUUAGAUUAUUAAUAUGUAUUUAUAGAUUAUAUAAUAAUUAUUAUAUAAAAUAUAUUUAUUAAAUGUUAUUAUUAAUAAUACUAUAAUAUAUAGAUUAAAGACAACUUUAUACUGGUAAAAAAAAUAAAAGAAAAAAAACAAUAAAUAACCGUACCUAGAAACUAACUCAAGUAAGCAAGUAGAGAAUACAAAGGCGUUUGAGAGAACAAUCAUUAAGGAACUCGGCAAAUUGACUCUGUACCUUUGGAAUAAGGAGGACCAUUAUUAUUAAAUUUAACAUAUAGUAAAGUAUGAAAUUAAAUAUGAAAAAUUAAAUUAAUAAUAAGAGGAAUCAUGAAAUAAUGUUGUACGACUGUUUAAUAAAAACACAGCACUCUGCAAAGAUAAAAAAUCAAAGUAUUGAGUGUGAUGUCUGCCCAAUGUCGGCUGGGUAACGGAUCUACCUUGAUUAUUAACUGAGGUUUUGAAGGACACCCCGAUUAAUGGCGGCCUUACCUAUGAGGGUCCUAAGGUAGCGAAAUACCUUGGCCGUUAAAUGCGGUCCUGCAUGAAUGACUUAACGAUGCAACAGCUGUCUCGAUGAUUGUCUCAGUGAAAUUGGAAUAGCAGUGCAGAUACUGUUUACCUCUAGAUAGACGAGAAGACCCUAUGCAGCUUUACUGUUACUAAUUAUAGGAGUGAAAUUUUAGGAUGAUUUAUAGUGUAUAAGGUAGUUGUUUAGAUAAUAAUGAAACACCUUUAUUCGAAUCCUUAUAUAUACUCUUAAUGAUUAGAAGGCAGUUUAUGCGGGGCACAGAUCCCACAAAAAGUACCUGGGUAUAUCCAAAGUUCAUAUUGUAAACUUGUAUAUUUAUAUACAAAUAUUUUAAUUUGUUCUAAUUAUUAUUAUAAUUAUACAGUUAUUAUUCGAUUAAAUUCCACAAUUAUUUUUUAUUUUAAGUAAGAUUUUAACUAUGCGGUGAAUAGAUGUAUUUUAAACUUUACUGGACUUUGUUCUAAUUUUAGUUCAAAGAUUUAAAAGUUUAUUUGUUAUAUUAAUAAAGUAUUUAUCUUUAUUAAUAUAAUGUUUAUUAAUACUUUAAAAGUUUAAUGGCUAAAUCUUGCUUUACUGUUUGACCUACAAGUCUAUCAGUCGCGUAAGCGGGGCAUAUGAUCACAAGAUGCAUUAAGGAAAGGUCUUGGAUUAUAGAAAAAGUUACGCUAGGGAUUUAUAACUGUGAGUCCUCCAAUAUUAUAAAAUAUUGGUAAU
Molecule: ribosomal RNA, 3120 nt
Filed under: Penicillium freii
Lineage: Eukaryota; Fungi; Ascomycota; Eurotiomycetes; Eurotiales; Aspergillaceae
Description: Bacterial large subunit ribosomal RNA
Rfam family: Bacterial large subunit ribosomal RNA
Source: Rfam by way of RNAcentral